Molecule: ribosomal RNA, 463 nt
Filed under: Guggenheimella bovis
Lineage: Bacteria; Bacillati; Bacillota; Clostridia; Peptostreptococcales; Guggenheimellaceae
Description: bacterial SSU rRNA
Rfam family: Bacterial small subunit ribosomal RNA
Source: RNAcentral
GAUGAACGCUAGCGGCGUGCCUAACACAUGCAAGUCGAGCGAGAAUUUAUGAACAGAGACUUCGGUCAAAGUGAUUAAAGGAAAGCGGCGGACGGGUGAGUAACGCGUGAGCAACCUGCCCCUCACACAGGGAUAGCCACUGGAAACGGUGAUUAAUACCUGGUAGACGACAAGUUCGCAUGAACUAAUCGGAAAAGAUUUAUCGGUGGAGGAUGGGCCUGCGUCUGAUUAGCUAGUUGGUAAGGUAACGGCUUACCAAGGCCACGAUCAGUAGCCGACCUAAGAGGGUGAACGGCCACACUGGAACUGAGAGACGGUCCAGACUCCUACGGGAGGCAGCAGUGGGGGGUAUUGCUCAAUGGAGGAAACUCUGAAGCAGCAACGCCGCGUGAGUGAAGAAAUUUUUCGAAAUGUAAAGCUCUGUCCUAUGGGAAGAAGUUGACGUACCAUAGGAGGAGCCCCG